Molecule: ribosomal RNA, 865 nt
Filed under: Clostridium tyrobutyricum
Lineage: Bacteria; Bacillati; Bacillota; Clostridia; Eubacteriales; Clostridiaceae
Description: bacterial SSU rRNA
Rfam family: Bacterial small subunit ribosomal RNA
Source: RNAcentral
CGGGCUUAACUUGGGUGCUGCAUUUCAAACUGGAUAUCUAGAGUGCAGGAGAGGAGAAUGGAAUUCCUAGUGUAGCGGUGAAAUGCGUAGAGAUUAGGAAGAACACCAGUGGCGAAGGCGAUUCUCUGGACUGUAACUGACGCUGAGGCACGAAAGCGUGGGUAGCAAACAGGAUUAGAUACCCUGGUAGUCCACGCCGUAAACGAUGAGUACUAGGUGUAGGAGGUAUCGACCCCUUCUGUGCCGCAGUAAACACAUUAAGUACUCCGCCUGGGAAGUACGAUCGCAAGAUUAAAACUCAAAGGAAUUGACGGGGGCCCGCACAAGCAGCGGAGCAUGUGGUUUAAUUCGAAGCAACGCGAAGAACCUUACCUGGACUUGACAUCCCCUGAAUAACCUAGAGAUAGGCGAAGCCCUUCGGGGCAGGAAGACAGGUGGUGCAUGGUUGUCGUCAGCUCGUGUCGUGAGAUGUUAGGUUAAGUCCUGCAACGAGCGCAACCCUUAUUGUUAGUUGCUAACAUUCAGUUGAGCACUCUAACGAGACUGCCGCGGUUAACGCGGAGGAAGGUGGGGAUGACGUCAAAUCAUCAUGCCCCUUAUGUCCAGGGCAACACACGUGCUACAAUGGGCAGAACAAAGAGAAGCAAUACCGCGAGGUGGAGCCAAACUCAAAAACUGCUCUCAGUUCGGAUUGCAGGCUGAAACUCGCCUGCAUGAAGCUGGAGUUGCUAGUAAUCGCGAAUCAGCAUGUCGCGGUGAAUACGUUCCCGGGCCUUGUACACACCGCCCGUCACACCAUGAGAGCUGGCAACACCCGAAGUCCGUAGUCUAACGUAAGAGGACGCGGCCGAAGGUGGGGUUAGUG